RNAcentral lists this ribosomal RNA (255 nucleotides) under uncultured bacterium. Its description in RNAcentral is "partial 16S ribosomal RNA". It matches the Rfam family "Bacterial small subunit ribosomal RNA", at positions 99 to 354 of the family's 1533-position model. The record is from RNAcentral.
CGGACGGGUGAGUAACGCGUGGAUAACCUGCCUUUCACAGGGGGAUAACAGCUGGAAACGGCUGCUAAUACCGCAUGAGCCUCUUUUGUCGCAUGAGAAGAGAGGGAAAGAGAAAUCGGUGAGAGAUGGAUCCGCGUCCAAUUAGCUAGUUGGAGGGGUAACAGCCCACCAAGGCGACGAUCGGUAGCCGACCUGAGAGGGUGGACGGCCACAUUGGGACUGAGACACGGCCCAAACUCCUACGGAAGGCAGCAG